UAGGAUCAGGAACUGGCUUAUGGUUC
This 26-nucleotide non-coding RNA is filed under the name Mus musculus (house mouse). Lineage: Eukaryota; Metazoa; Chordata; Mammalia; Rodentia; Muridae. The record is from RNAcentral.